GAAUGUGUCUUCCUCCCUUCUCCCUAAACUGUCCGUGUGAAUGUGUCUUUGGAUGGAUCUCCCCCCUUGUUAUGGUGAAGGGUGGAUGUAUUUAUAGUCUAGGGAGAGGACCACCAUCUAAUUAAGGUGGUUUAUCAAAUGUCAAAGAUUAUUAAUUUGAUGUCAUAUAAAUAUAAUAAUAGUGGUGGGAUGUAACCAGACUUGGAAGUUGGCAUUUGGAAUUAGGAAAUAAUAUUUUUAAAUUUGUUGCAUUGUUGACAAAUAAGAGCAUGACUGUAAAUGUAUGAAGCAUGAUAAUUGGAGGAGGGUUGAAAAGAAAAGGUCAGUAUAGGCGCCCUAGGCCAAUCCUUGUCUCUUCGUCCCUCCGCCAUAGUGUAGUACUUUGAAGGGUAGAGCAACAACAAAAAUUUCUUAAUUAGUCACUUAUUUUAAUUGAUUCUCGUGACAAUUCUCCUGCUUUCAAUACAUUAUCAUGUAUUGAAUAUGGAAUUCUGUAACAUUUGUUGAGUUUGAAUGUUUCGACAGACCCCACAUAGAUGAUAGAGUUAUGCAGACUUCUAGUAGAAUUGCACUUGUACAUUUAGGUGAAAGUUCGAUCGAGUCAUGUAAAAUAGACGGGCGUAUAAA
RNAcentral lists this long non-coding RNA (627 nucleotides) under Malus domestica (apple). Its description in RNAcentral is "long non-coding RNA (MDOM_LNC008939)". Lineage: Eukaryota; Viridiplantae; Streptophyta; Magnoliopsida; Rosales; Rosaceae. The record is from RNAcentral.